UGAGAUGGUGUCCAGAGGCCAGCCGGGCCAUGCCAAGGUGAACUGGAGUCAGGUCUGAGUACCAGUCACACCAGCCUCAAGAACUACCAAGCUGCUGCACUGCUUGUGCGGUGCUGGUUUAUUCUGUCUCCAGCGCCACUGUCACCUUCUGGGAACAGGGGCUAAGGUGGUGGGAAGAGAAGGCGAAGCACCUGAAUCCAGACCUGAAGAGCAAUGGCUAGGAAUGGAUCCCGCUGUGUUGGUCCUCCCCUUUACGGACAUGAUGUGCCCCUUCCUGUUCUCACCCCUAAAGAAGAGAGAGCUGCUGGGCUCACUGAUCAACCCACUGUUCUGUGUUGAUUAAAUUUUACUCACAACAUCCCAAAAACUUCCCUCAACUACUGUAAAAUAAUAAAGUUAUUUUCAGAAUAA
This 411-nucleotide long non-coding RNA is filed under the name Rattus norvegicus (Norway rat). Its description in RNAcentral is "long non-coding RNA NONRATT007020". Lineage: Eukaryota; Metazoa; Chordata; Mammalia; Rodentia; Muridae. The record is from RNAcentral.